This 448-nucleotide ribosomal RNA is filed under the name uncultured bacterium. Its description in RNAcentral is "bacterial SSU rRNA". It matches the Rfam family "Bacterial small subunit ribosomal RNA", at positions 355 to 825 of the family's 1533-position model. The record is from RNAcentral.
UCGGGAAUUUUGGGCAAUGGGCGAAAGCCUGACCCAGCAACGCCGCGUGAAGGAUGAAGUAUUUCGGUAUGUAAACUUCGAAAGAAUGGGAAGAAUAAAUGACGGUACUAUUUAUAAGGUCCGGCUAACUACGUGCCAGCAGCCGCGGUAAUACGUAGGGACCAAGCGUUGUUCGGAUUUACUGGGCGUAAAGGGCGCGUAGGCGGCAAUUCAAGUCAUCUGUGAAAUCUCCGGGCUUAACUCGGAACGGUCAGAUGAUACUGCUUUGCUAGAGUGCAGAAGGGGCAAUCGGAAUUCUUGGUGUAGCGGUGAAAUGCGUAGAUAUCAAGAGGAACACCUGAGGUGAAGACGGGUUGCUGGGCUGACACUGACGCUGAGGCGCGAAAGCCAGGGGAGCAAACGGGGAUUAGAUACCCUUGUAGUCCCUGAGCGGGCUGGCAAGGCGCAU